ACUUGCCGUCAGUAUGAAAGUGUCAUGCCUAAACUUUGUUACAUUUGAAAUGUGCUUAUGUGGACAGGAAACCGCAUCAAUAGCACAGCUGAGGGCAACUGGAGUAAUUACUGACAGAGCUAGCUUUCUCUUUGUUAUCCUAGCUAGCUACUUUGGUAAAGUAAAUGUAAAAGGAUGUAUCCAAUGUCAUUUGGAGUGCUGAAACUGGAAUUCCCUCCCUGCUGUACGGUCUAGGGUGUUGAGCAGGGAGGUGUUGGUGAAGAAGAAGAGGUAACCGAAGGUUUGGGAGGUGAGUGGAGGGGACAGGCAGGCUUCCCGGGACAGCG
Long non-coding RNA from Esox lucius (northern pike), 326 nucleotides. RefSeq lists it as uncharacterized. The transcript has 2 exons. Lineage: Eukaryota; Metazoa; Chordata; Actinopteri; Esociformes; Esocidae. The record is from RefSeq and is a predicted model, not a curated record.